AUUGUUCGCUGGCGGCAGGCCUAACACAUGCAAGUCGAGCGGUAGAGAGGAGCUUGCUCCUCUUGAGAGCGGCGGACGGGUGAGUAAUGCCUAGGAAUCUGCCUGGUAGUGGGGGAUAACGUUCGGAAACGGACGCUAAUACCGCAUACGUCCUACGGGAGAAAGCAGGGGACCUUCGGGCCUUGCGCUAUCAGAUGAGCCUAGGUCGGAUUAGCUAGUUGGUGAGGUAAUGGCUCACCAAGGCGACGAUCCGUAACUGGUCUGAGAGGAUGAUCAGUCACACUGGAACUGAGACACGGUCCAGACUCCUACGGGAGGCAGCAGUGGGGAAUAUUGGACAAUGGGCGAAAGCCUGAUCCAGCCAUGCCGCGUGUGUGAAGAAGGUCUUCGGAUUGUAAAGCACUUUAAGUUGGGAGGAAGGGCAGUAAAUUAAUACUUUGCUGUUUUGACGUUACCGACAGAAUAAGCACCGGCUAACUCUGUGCCAGCAGCCGCGGUAAUACAGAGGGUGCAAGCGUUAAUCGGAAUUACUGGGCGUAAAGCGCGCGUAGGUGGUUUGUUAAGUUGGAUGUGAAAUCCCCGGGCUCAACCUGGGAACUGCAUUCAAAACUGACUGACUAGAGUAUGGUAGAGGGUGGGGGAAAUUCCCUGUGUAGCGGUGAAAAUGCGUAGAUAUAGGAAGGACCCCCAGUGGCGAAGGCGAACACCCUGGACUAAUACUGGACCCUGAAGUGCGAAAGCGGGGGGGAGCAAACAGGAUUAGAUACCCUGGUAGUCCACGCCGUAAACGAUGUCAACUAGCCGUUGGAAGCCUUGAGCUUUUAGUGGCGCAGCUAACGCAUUAAGUUGACCGCCUGGGGAGUACGGCCGCAAGGUUAAAACUCAAAUGAAUUGACGGGGGCCCGCACAAGCGGUGGAGCAUGUGGUUUAAUUCGAAGCAACGCGAAGAACCUUACCAGGCCUUGACAUCCAAUGAACUUUCUAGAGAUAGAUUGGUGCCUUCGGGAACAUUGAGACAGGUGCUGCAUGGCUGUCGUCAGCUCGUGUCGUGAGAUGUUGGGUUAAGUCCCGUAACGAGCGCAACCCUUGUCCUUAGUUACCAGCACGUCAUGGUGGGCACUCUAAGGAGACUGCCGGUGACAAACCGGAGGAGGGUGGGGAUGACGUCAAGUCAUCAUGGCCCUUACGGCCUGGGCUACACACGUGCUACAAUGGUCGGUACAGAGGGUUGCCAAGCCGCGAGGUGGAGCUAAUCCCACAAAACCGAUCGUAGUCCGGAUCGCAGUCUGCAACUCGACUGCGUGAAGUCGGAAUCGCUAGUAAUCGCGAAUCAGAAUGUCGCGGUGAAUACGUUCCCGGGCCU
RNAcentral lists this ribosomal RNA (1363 nucleotides) under uncultured bacterium. Its description in RNAcentral is "bacterial SSU rRNA". It matches the Rfam family "Bacterial small subunit ribosomal RNA", at positions 28 to 1381 of the family's 1533-position model. The record is from RNAcentral.